RNAcentral lists this ribosomal RNA (497 nucleotides) under uncultured bacterium. RNAcentral's name for it is "partial 16S ribosomal RNA". It matches the Rfam family "Bacterial small subunit ribosomal RNA", at positions 28 to 507 of the family's 1533-position model. The record is from RNAcentral.
GAUGAACGCUGGCGGCGUGCCUAAUACAUGCAAGUCGAGCGAACAGACGAGGAGCUUGCUCCUCUGACGUUAGCGGCGGACGGGUGAGUAACACGUGGAUAACCUACCUAUAAGACUGGGAUAACUUCGGGAAACCGGAGCUAAUACCGGAUAACAUGUUGAACCGCAUGGUUUAACAGUGAAAGACGGUCUUGCUGUCACUUAUAGAUGGAUCCGCGCCGCAUUAGCUAGUUGGUAAGGUAACGGCUUACCAAGGCAACGAUGCGUAGCCGACCUGAGAGGGUGAUCGGCCACAAUGGAACGGAGACACGGUCGAGACUCCUACGGGAGGCAGCAGUAGGGAAUCUUCCGCAAUGGGCGAAAGCCUGACGGAGCAACGCCGCGUGAGUGAAGAAGGUCUUCGGAUCGUAAAACUCUGUUAUUAGGGAAGAACAAAUGUGUAAGUAACUAUGCACGUCUUGACGGUACCUAAUCAGAAAGCCACGGCUAACUACGUG